RNAcentral lists this small nuclear RNA (101 nucleotides) under Erinaceus europaeus (western European hedgehog). The record is from RNAcentral. Lineage: Eukaryota; Metazoa; Chordata; Mammalia; Eulipotyphla; Erinaceidae.
GUGCUUGACAGCACAUGUACUAAAAUUGGGAACAAUAUGGAGAUUAGCAGGGGCCCUGCACAAUGAUAAACAUCAGAUUUUGUGAUGCAUUUCCUAUUUAA